RNAcentral lists this ribosomal RNA (253 nucleotides) under uncultured bacterium. RNAcentral describes it as "partial 16S ribosomal RNA". It matches the Rfam family "Bacterial small subunit ribosomal RNA", at positions 524 to 776 of the family's 1533-position model. The record is from RNAcentral.
UACGAAGGGGGCUAUCGUUGUUCGGAUUUACUGGGCGUAAAGGGCGCGUAGGCGGUUCUACAAGUCAGAAGUGAAAGCCCUGGGCUUAACCCGGGAAUUGCUUUUGAAACUGUAAGACUAGAGUAGGGGAGAGGUGAGUGGAAUUCCCAGUGUAGAGGUGAAAUUCGUAGAUAUUGGGAAGAACACCAGUGGCGAAGGCGGCUCACUGGACCCUAACUGACGCUGAGGCGCGAAAGCGUGGGGAGAAAACAGG